CCUACGGGGCGCAGCAGUGGGGAAUAUUGCACAAUGGGGGAAACCCUGAUGCAGCGACGCCGCGUGAGUGAAGAAGUAUUUCGGUAUGUAAAGCUCUGUCAGCAGGGAAGAAAAUGACGGUACCUGACCAAGAAGCCCCGGCUAACUACGUGCCAGCAGCCGCGGUAAUACGUAUGGUGCAAGCGUUAUCCGGAUUUACUGGGUGUAAAGGGAGCGUAGGCGGCGCGUUAAGUCUGAUGUGAAAACCCGAGGCUCAACCACGGGAGUGCAUUGGAAACUGGCGGGCUGGAGUGCCGGAGAGGUAA
This 305-nucleotide ribosomal RNA is filed under the name uncultured bacterium. RNAcentral describes it as "bacterial SSU rRNA". It matches the Rfam family "Bacterial small subunit ribosomal RNA", at positions 338 to 660 of the family's 1533-position model. The record is from RNAcentral.